Molecule: long non-coding RNA, 940 nt
Organism: Thunnus maccoyii (southern bluefin tuna)
Lineage: Eukaryota; Metazoa; Chordata; Actinopteri; Scombriformes; Scombridae
Exons: 4
Source: RefSeq, a predicted model, not a curated record
UGCGUUAAUGAGGUGCUGCGUCAUCACUGAAGGUGUGCAGGACGAUGUUUCUGUGAAAGAUAUUUCUGCUUGUUCCACACCCACUGAUGUUGAAUGUACUGCGAUACGAGGAUCCCCUCACUUUAUUGUCCAAGGGGACAUAAUGAAGCUAAGGGCAUGAAUGACCUGUAUUAAAGGUCAAGUGCUUGUGGGACCUCAGGACUUCUCCAGUGGUUUGACUGCAUUUUUUUCAAACUACUACGAUUUUAAUCUACACUAUCCCAAUGAUGCCUCAUGCACAUGGAAUUUAUCCAAAGGUACCUCUUUGGCCUACAGGCAGACAAGCUCAAGUUAAAGAGGCAGAAUGGAGACAUCAACUAAGAAGUGCAUUCAUUAGAAAACCUAGUGACUUUGAGUGGAUGUCAUUGUAAACAAGGUGUAAAAGGACAGUGCAGACUUGCAUGUAGCACAAGAUUUCCUCUUUUGCUAAAGAAAAACUGCUAAAAUAUUUUUGGGGAUAUUAAUUAAUACUUCCUUUUUCAGUUAUAAGCACAUCGGGAGGGAAUUUCUUCAUGGCCAGUGUAGACAGGAGGAAUGGGUGUAGCAAACAAUAAUUCAAAGCACUGCAAUAUACAAAUGGUCAUGUGAGAAUUGUUUUCAGACAGACUUGAAAAAAUGUGAACCUAUCUUUUCAUAUAUGGUAGUGCAUUCAAUUUUUCUGCGACUGCAGAUAUGCUAGUUUACAUUGUGUUGGUAAACAACUUUCUAAAUUGAAAACACAGUGGAACAAAAUUUGGGAGAUAAAGUAUGAAGCUUAUUAUGAAUAUUCAAGCUUUUAAGAUUUUGCAAAGUCAACCCACCAAAAUAAUUGCAUUGUCCUGCAGUAGUAGCAAUGACCUGUAAAAUGUAUAUAAAAUUGCAAAAUAAAUGUCUUAAACUGAUUUUGCUUGUUUCUUUGUUU